RNAcentral lists this ribosomal RNA (590 nucleotides) under Gammaproteobacteria bacterium. RNAcentral describes it as "bacterial SSU rRNA". It matches the Rfam family "Bacterial small subunit ribosomal RNA", at positions 1 to 553 of the family's 1533-position model. The record is from RNAcentral. Lineage: Bacteria; Pseudomonadati; Pseudomonadota; Gammaproteobacteria.
CAACUGAAGAGUUUGAUCAUGGCUCAGAUUGAACGUUGGCGGCAGGCCUAAUACAUGCAAGUCGAACGAGAAAGUCCCUUCGGGGACGAGUAGAGUGGCGGACGGGUGAGUAACGCGUAGGAAUCCACCCACUAGUGGGGGAUAACCCGAGGAAACUCGGGCUAAUACCGCAUGUGACCUCCGGUUUCGACCGGGGAUGAAAGCGGGGGCUCGGCGCGCCGGCGCAAGUCGGUGUCAAGACCUCGCGCUAGUGGACGAGCCUGCGUUGGAUUAGCUUGUUGGUGAGGUAAUGGCUCACCAAGGCUACGAUCCAUAGCUGGUCUGAGAGGACGAUCAGCCACACUGGAACUGAGACACGGUCCAGACUCCUACGGGAGGCAGCAGUAGGGAAUAUUGUGCAAUGGGCGAAAGCCUGACACAGCCAUGCCGCGUGUGUGAAGAAGGCCCUAGGGUUGUAAAGCACUUUCAGCGGAGAAGAAAAGCUCGGGAUUAAUACCCCCGGGUCUUGACGUUACCCGCAGAAGAAGCACCGGCUAACUCCGUGCCAGCAGCCGCGGUAAUACGGAGGGUGCGAACGUUAAUCGGAAUUA